AACAGGGAUUGCCCCAGUAACGGCGAGUGAAGCGGCAACAGCUCAAAUUUGAAAUCUGGCCCCAGGCCCGAAUUGUAAUUUGUAGAGGAUGCUUCGGACGCGGCGCCUUCCAAGUCCCCUGGAACGGGGCGCCUUAGAGGGUGAGAGCCCCGUACGGUUGGACGCCAAGUCUGUGUGAAGCUCCUUCGACGAGUCGAGUAGUUUGGGAAUGCUGCUCAAAAUGGGAGGUAGACCCCUUCUAAAGCUAAAUACCGGCCAGAGACCGAUAGCGCACAAGUAGAGUGAUCGAAAGAUGAAAAGCACUUUGAAAAGAGGGUUAAAUAGCACGUGAAAUUGUUGAAAGGGAAGCGCUUGUGACCAGACUUGCGCCGGGGCGAUCAUCUAGUGUUCUCACUGGUGCACUCGCCUCGGUUCAGGCCAGCGUCGGUUCGGACGGGGGGACAAAGACUUUGGGAAUGUGGCUCCCCCGGGAGUGUUAUAGCCCUUUGUGCAAUGCCCCCGACCGGACCGAGGUUCGCGCUCUGCAAGGACGCUGGCAUAAUGGUCAUCAGCGACCCGUCUUGAAACACGGACCAAGGAGUCGAGGUUCUGCGCGAGUGUUUGGGUGUCAAACCCGCACGCGUAAUGAAAGUGAACGUAGGUGGGAGCUUCGGCGCACCACCGACCGAUCCUGAUGUUCUCGGAUGGAUUUGAGUAAGAGCGUUGGGCCUCGGACCCGAAAGAUGGUGAACUAUGCUUGGAUAGGGUGAAGCCAGAGGAAACUCUGGUGGAGGCUCGCAGCGGUUCUGACGUGCAAAUCGAUCGUCAAAUCUGAGCAUGG
RNAcentral lists this ribosomal RNA (820 nucleotides) under Kionochaeta castaneae. RNAcentral's name for it is "partial large subunit ribosomal RNA". It matches the Rfam family "Eukaryotic large subunit ribosomal RNA", at positions 67 to 920 of the family's 3401-position model. Lineage: Eukaryota; Fungi; Ascomycota; Sordariomycetes; Sordariales. The record is from RNAcentral.